RNAcentral lists this unclassified non-coding RNA (228 nucleotides) under Glomus sp. RNAcentral describes it as "partial internal transcribed spacer 2". The stretch from base 1 to 71 matches the Rfam family "5.8S ribosomal RNA", at positions 84 to 154 of the family's 154-position model. Lineage: Eukaryota; Fungi; Glomeromycota; Glomeromycetes; Glomerales; Glomeraceae. The record is from RNAcentral.
GUGAAUCAUCAAAUUUUUGAACGCAAAUUGCACUUUCUGGGAUGACGGAAGGUAUUCCUGUUUGAGGGUCAGAUAAAUAGAAAUCGGUGUUGUUGCUGCGUUUCGUGGUGAGGAGUCGGAAUUGAGUUGUCUUACCUUCGGUUAAGUGACUUAAAAUUUUGCAUGAUUUUCGUACGUAUUUAUAUUUCUUACGUAUGUAUGAGAUAUCGAAUACUAUUUUAAUUACAG